This 107-nucleotide ribosomal RNA is filed under the name Escherichia coli. Lineage: Bacteria; Pseudomonadati; Pseudomonadota; Gammaproteobacteria; Enterobacterales; Enterobacteriaceae. RNAcentral also lists the same sequence under 2 other names. The record is from RNAcentral.
GGCCGUAGCGCGGUGGUCCCACCUGACCCCAUGCCGAACUCAGAAGUGAAACGCCGUAGCGCCGAUGGUAGUGUGGGGUCUCCCCAUGCGAGAGUAGGGAACUGCCA